AGGUGAGGAACCUGACUGAGGAGGUGCAGUCUCUACAUGAGGACGUCAGUAAACUCACCAGAGCCGUGCAGGCUGCUCAGGAGGCCCAGCAGCAGACCCAGGAGCAUCUGCACAUAGAGGAGGAGAAACUCAGCAACGUGAGCAAAGUAAAUCAGAAGCUCAGCCAGCAAGUUGAUGCGAGGCUGUGAGUGAAGGGCAAGAUGAAGGUAUCCAAAGGUUCGGUGUCUGUGAUGACUCCACUUUAAAGCUGGUCCCUCUGCUGCCUCCUCAUAUGGAAGAUGUGAAAAUGGAUCAAGCAUUCCCUUGUUCCUCUUUAAAAUGUCACCAGUCCUCUUCAUGAUUUGCUCACUUCUUAAAAUAUCUGCCUGCUAACACUG
RNAcentral lists this long non-coding RNA (377 nucleotides) under Rattus norvegicus (Norway rat). RNAcentral's name for it is "long non-coding RNA NONRATT006964". The record is from RNAcentral. Lineage: Eukaryota; Metazoa; Chordata; Mammalia; Rodentia; Muridae.